AGUGAACGCUGGCGGCGUGCUUAACACAUGCAAGUCGAACGAGAACGGGUUAUAGCUUGCUAUAAUUGUCAGCUAAGUGGCGCACGGGUGAGUAAUGUAUAGGUAAUAUGCCUCUUACUAAGGGAUAACAAAUGGAAACGUUUGCUAAUACCUUAUACUCCUUAUUAACAGAAGUUAAUAAGGGAAAGAUUUAUUGGUAAGAGAUUAGCCUGUAUUGUAUCAGUUAGUUGGUGGGGUAAUGGCUUACCAAGACUAUGACACAUAACUGGUUUGAGAGGAUGCUCAGUCACACUGGAACUGAGACACGGUCCAGACUCCUACGGGAGGCAGCAGUGGGGAAUAUUGCACAAUGGACGAAAGUCUGAUGCAGCAACGCCGCGUGGAGGACGACACAUCUCGGUGCGUAAACUCCUUUUAUAUGAGAAGAUAAUGACGGUAUUAUAUGAAUAAGCACCGGCUAACUCCGUGCCAGCCGCCGCCGUAA
Molecule: ribosomal RNA, 484 nt
Filed under: uncultured bacterium
Lineage: Bacteria
Description: partial 16S ribosomal RNA
Rfam family: Bacterial small subunit ribosomal RNA
Source: RNAcentral